RNA transcript from Fragaria vesca subsp. vesca, 702 nucleotides. RefSeq lists it as uncharacterized. Lineage: Eukaryota; Viridiplantae; Streptophyta; Magnoliopsida; Rosales; Rosaceae. The record is from RefSeq and is a predicted model, not a curated record. The transcript is spliced from 3 exons.
AUAGUCGAAUCAUUUCGAAAGAAUUCGAAGAUACAGUCUUGAUCUGGAAUUGGAAACCCAGAGAGAAUAGCGUCGAAGCUCAGUCCGCUUGUACAUGCUUUGUUUGCAGGAAGACAUUGAGAUAGCCUAAAGCCCCAAGGUUCUCCUAACGCAAAGUUGAAGGAACAGGUUCAGGCUUCAUUUGGGAUCACAUUGUCACAAAUUACCAUGUAGUAGCUAGAUUGGCUACAGAUCAAACCGGAUUACAGCGUUGAAGAGAGGGAAGGACCCAAUAUGGUUGAAACUCUCUUCUUUCUUGCUAAAUACUUCAGAGAGCAGAAAAAGUUUGAAGAAGCAGAGGUCUACUGUACCGAUUUUAUGGAUUAUACCGGUCCGGAAAAAGAAAGAUAAAAAAUUUUACUCCGCGCAAUCAGAAUGGAACAAACUGGUUCUCCUUCCAUGGAUAUUGAGAGCUUCUUUCCUUAAUUUUUUUGUCAGGAUAUAUUACAUGGAUCAACUUCAUGGAUAAACUUCAUGAGUGAUGGGAGUUGCAAUUGAGCAUAGCUUGGGUUUUGUUGUUUCCGAAAAACAUUUUAGUCUCUUUAGUAAUUGCUAAGCUGAAGGUUUAGCGGUGUGAUUGCUGUAGAAAGUUCAAUCCAACUCUAGCACUCUAGUCUUGUCUAGUCUUCUAGUUUAAAACUUUAAUUUGAAAAGUAUUCCCUA